AGCAACACAAGUUAAAUAGCUUCAAAGAAUUCAUCGGGUUCUUGGGUCAUUGGUACUGGUUCACGUCCAAAACUGCCAAUUUAAGCGACAUACACAUGAGCUUUUUUAAAAGAAAAAAGAGGGUCACACAAAGUAUUGCUCUCGCCAUGCUUGCGCCAUGUGCUUUCUAGCCGGGGAUGAAAAUAAAAGGUACUCCAAGUGUCUCUCUCGCGAAGUUGCAAAGGAAGAUGUGAUGUCAACUUGCUCG
Molecule: long non-coding RNA, 247 nt
Filed under: Solanum tuberosum (potato)
Lineage: Eukaryota; Viridiplantae; Streptophyta; Magnoliopsida; Solanales; Solanaceae
Description: long non-coding RNA (STUB_LNC001770)
Source: RNAcentral